GGAUGCGAUCAUACCAGCACUAAAGCACCGGAUCCAAUCAGAACUUCGAAGUUAAGCGUGCUUGGGUGAGAGUAGUACUAGGAUGGGUGACCUCCUGGGAAGUCCUCGUGUUGCAUUCC
Molecule: ribosomal RNA, 119 nt
Filed under: Triticum aestivum (bread wheat)
Lineage: Eukaryota; Viridiplantae; Streptophyta; Magnoliopsida; Poales; Poaceae
Also listed under: 1 other name
Source: RNAcentral